Molecule: ribosomal RNA, 301 nt
Filed under: uncultured bacterium
Lineage: Bacteria
Description: partial 16S ribosomal RNA
Rfam family: Bacterial small subunit ribosomal RNA
Source: RNAcentral
CAGCCGCCACGGGAAUACGGAGGGUGCAAGCGUUAAUCGGAAUUACCGGGCGUAAAGCGAGCGUAGGCGGUUCGUUAAGUCUGUUGUGAAAGCCCCGGGCUCAACCUGGGAAUGGCAAUGGAUACUGGCGAGCUAGAGUGUGUCAGAGGAUGGUGGAAUUCCCGGUGUAGCGGUGAAAUGCGUAGAGAUCGGGAGGAACAUCAGUGGCGAAGGCGGCCAUCUGGGACAACACUGACGCUGAGGCACGAAAGCGUGGGGAGCAAACAGGAUUAGAUACCCGCGUAGUCCCUGUCUCUUAUAC